This 405-nucleotide ribosomal RNA is filed under the name uncultured bacterium. RNAcentral describes it as "partial 16S ribosomal RNA". It matches the Rfam family "Bacterial small subunit ribosomal RNA", at positions 28 to 526 of the family's 1533-position model. The record is from RNAcentral.
GACGAACGCUGGCGGCGUGCUUAACACAUGCAAGUCGAGCGGAGCGGCGAACGGGUGAGUAACGCGUGAGUAACUGCCCCCCUCUCUGGUAUCACAGUUGGAAACGGCUGCUAAUACCGGAUAGUGGGGGGUGACUGGCGUCCUAUCAGCUUGUUGGUGGGGUAGUGGCCUACCAAGGCGACGACGGGUAGCCGGCCUGAGAGGGCGACCGGCCACAGUGGGCUGAGAUACGGGCCAAAAGCCGACGGGAGGCAGCAGUGGGGAAUAUUGCACAAUGGGGGAAAGCCUGAUGCAGCAACGCCGGGUGCGGGAUGACGGACUGCGGGUUGUAAACCGCUUUCAGCCAUGACGCGGGAGUGGCAGAAGAAGCACCGGCUAACUACGUGCCAGCAGCAGCGGUAAUAC